GGUUAACGCUGGCGGCGUGCCUUACACAUGCAAGUCGAACGGGGCUAUCAGCGAUGGUAGCUUAGUGGCGAACGGGUGAGGAAGACGCAGGGACCUACCGACCAGAGGGGGAUACCCGCUGGAAACGGCGGAUAAAACCGCAUACGCCCGGGUGAAAGCCCGGGGAAAAGCACUACGGUGUUACUGGACGAGGGACCUGCGGCCCAUCAGGUAGUUGGGGAGGUAACGGCUCACCAAGCCGACGACGGGUAUCUGGCGUGAGAGCGCGAACAGGCACAAGGACACUGAGAGACGGGUCCUACUCCUACGGGAGGCAGCAGUGGGGAAUAUUGGACAAUGGGCGAAAGCCUGAACCAGCCACGUCGCGUGAAGGAUGACGGCCUUAUGGGUUGUAAACUUCUUUUACAGGGGAAUAAAGUGAGUCACGUGUGAUUUUUGCAUGUACCCUGUGAAUAAGCAUCGGCUAACUCCGUG
This 474-nucleotide ribosomal RNA is filed under the name uncultured bacterium. Its description in RNAcentral is "bacterial SSU rRNA". It matches the Rfam family "Bacterial small subunit ribosomal RNA", at positions 28 to 507 of the family's 1533-position model. The record is from RNAcentral.